This is a long non-coding RNA of Micropterus dolomieu (smallmouth bass), 702 nucleotides long. RefSeq lists it as uncharacterized. The transcript has 4 exons. The record is from RefSeq and is a predicted model, not a curated record. NCBI's taxonomy places the organism in Eukaryota, Metazoa, Chordata, Actinopteri, Centrarchiformes, Centrarchidae.
AACGUUUUGCACCGGUUUGCAACGUUUUCUGAUUGAACGACAUGUUUCCUUGCAGCGUUGCGCAACGUUCUGCAACGGGCUUCGAGGUAUGUUUUCUCCAGUUUGGUGGGCGUGUCUUAGGUGUUAUCCAAUCAGCUGCCACAAGUUUGUAAACACAACGGCAUUAGAAAGGCAAGAAAAUGCAGUGCGCUUGCGUACACAGCAGGGUGUUCAAGGCAACACCGUUUCCAUUGAAAAAAACGUUUUUCUACGUUUUGUCGGCGCUGAACUCGCCCCAGAAGCAGGACACCUGUGCCUCCUUAAGAGUUGAUUUAUUGGGAACACUCAACAUUUCUCUGUAGGCAUAUUGUGUUCCAGUGUGGCUAGAGAGCAGGCAUUUUAAGCCACCUGUUGUCCAGACUUUGUUGGUCGAAUAGCCUGUUAUGCUAGAGUUCACCGCAGAGAAGGCAUUGGUGGUUGAUAACCCUGAGUGGGCCUAAAUGUCUGAUCCGUAACUGAGGUGGAGUCGGAGCUGGGUUGACUAUCUUCUGCACUGUUUGAGGAUUGUAUGGCCACUGCUGUUUUGCCUGCCUGAUCAACUCCUGCUAUUCGUGCUAGUAUUUUUAUGUGGGUUCUUGUUUGAUUAGAUUGUUACAGGUGGAUGGGCCCUGUGAAUGUGUUUGCCAACUGCAAAGGUCUGCUAUGGGUGUGGCCAUUUUCCCU